This 253-nucleotide ribosomal RNA is filed under the name uncultured bacterium. RNAcentral describes it as "partial 16S ribosomal RNA". It matches the Rfam family "Bacterial small subunit ribosomal RNA", at positions 524 to 776 of the family's 1533-position model. The record is from RNAcentral.
UACGUAGGGGGCAAGCGUUGUCCGGAAUCACUGGGCGUAAAGCGCACGUAGGCGGGUCCUUAAGUCAGGGGUGAAAUCCCGGAGCUCAACUCCGGAACUGCCUUUGAUACUGGGGAUCUUGAGUCCGGAAGAGGUGAGUGGAACUCCGAGUGUAGAGGUGAAAUUCGUAGAUAUUCGGAAGAACACCAGUGGCGAAGGCGGCUCACUGGUCCGGUACUGACGCUGAGGUGCGAAAGCGUGGGGAGCAAACAGG